Molecule: ribosomal RNA, 2930 nt
Filed under: Escherichia coli O91 str. RM7190
Lineage: Bacteria; Pseudomonadati; Pseudomonadota; Gammaproteobacteria; Enterobacterales; Enterobacteriaceae
Description: bacterial LSU rRNA
Rfam family: Bacterial large subunit ribosomal RNA
Source: RNAcentral
GGGUUGUGAGGUUAAGCGACUAAGCGUACACGGUGGAUGCCCUGGCAGUCAGAGGCGAUGAAGGACGUGCUAAUCUGCGAUAAGCGUCGGUAAGGUGAUAUGAACCGUUAUAACCGGCGAUUUCCGAAUGGGGAAACCCAGUGUGAUUCGUCACACUAUCAUUAACUGAAUCCAUAGGUUAAUGAGGCGAACCGGGGGAACUGAAACAUCUAAGUACCCCGAGGAAAAGAAAUCAACCGAGAUUCCCCCAGUAGCGGCGAGCGAACGGGGAGCAGCCCAGAGCCUGAAUCAGUGUGUGUGUUAGUGGAAGCGUCUGGAAAGGCGCGCGAUACAGGGUGACAGCCCCGUACACAAAAAUGCACAUACUGUGAGCUCGAUGAGUAGGGCGGGACACGUGGUAUCCUGUCUGAAUAUGGGGGGACCAUCCUCCAAGGCUAAAUACUCCUGACUGACCGAUAGUGAACCAGUACCGUGAGGGAAAGGCGAAAAGAACCCCGGCGAGGGGAGUGAAAAAGAACCUGAAACCGUGUACGUACAAGCAGUGGGAGCACGCUUAGGCGUGUGACUGCGUACCUUUUGUAUAAUGGGUCAGCGACUUAUAUUCUGUAGCAAGGUUAACCGAAUAGGGGAGCCGAAGGGAAACCGAGUCUUAACUGGGCGUUAAGUUGCAGGGUAUAGACCCGAAACCCGGUGAUCUAGCCAUGGGCAGGUUGAAGGUUGGGUAACACUAACUGGAGGACCGAACCGACUAAUGUUGAAAAAUUAGCGGAUGACUUGUGGCUGGGGGUGAAAGGCCAAUCAAACCGGGAGAUAGCUGGUUCUCCCCGAAAGCUAUUUAGGUAGCGCCUCGUGAAUUCAUCUCCGGGGGUAGAGCACUGUUUCGGCAAGGGGGUCAUCCCGACUUACCAACCCGAUGCAAACUGCGAAUACCGGAGAAUGUUAUCACGGGAGACACACGGCGGGUGCUAACGUCCGUCGUGAAGAGGGAAACAACCCAGACCGCCAGCUAAGGUCCCAAAGUCAUGGUUAAGUGGGAAACGAUGUGGGAAGGCUCAGACAGCCAGGAUGUUGGCUUAGAAGCAGCCAUCAUUUAAAGAAAGCGUAAUAGCUCACUGGUCGAGUCGGCCUGCGCGGAAGAUGUAACGGGGCUAAACCAUGCACCGAAGCUGCGGCAGCGACGCUUAUGCGUUGUUGGGUAGGGGAGCGUUCUGUAAGCCUGUGAAGGUGUACUGUGAGGUAUGCUGGAGGUAUCAGAAGUGCGAAUGCUGACAUAAGUAACGAUAAAGCGGGUGAAAAGCCCGCUCGCCGGAAGACCAAGGGUUCCUGUCCAACGUUAAUCGGGGCAGGGUGAGUCGACCCCUAAGGCGAGGCCGAAAGGCGUAGUCGAUGGGAAACAGGUUAAUAUUCCUGUACUUGGUGUUACUGCGAAGGGGGGACGGAGAAGGCUAUGUUGGCCGGGCGACGGUUGUCCCGGUUUAAGCGUGUAGGCUGGUUUUCCAGGCAAAUCCGGAAAAUCAAGGCUGAGGCGUGAUGACGAGGCACUACGGUGCUGAAGCAACAAAUGCCCUGCUUCCAGGAAAAGCCUCUAAGCAUCAGGUAACAUCAAAUCGUACCCCAAACCGACACAGGUGGUCAGGUAGAGAAUACCAAGGCGCUUGAGAGAACUCGGGUGAAGGAACUAGGCAAAAUGGUGCCGUAACUUCGGGAGAAGGCACGCUGAUAUGUAGGUGAAGUCCCUCGCGGAUGGAGCUGAAAUCAGUCGAAGAUACCAGCUGGCUGCAACUGUUUAUUAAAAACACAGCACUGUGCAAACACGAAAGUGGACGUAUACGGUGUGACGCCUGCCCGGUGCCGGAAGGUUAAUUGAUGGGGUUAGCGCAAGCGAAGCUCUUGAUCGAAGCCCCGGUAAACGGCGGCCGUAACUAUAACGGUCCUAAGGUAGCGAAAUUCCUUGUCGGGUAAGUUCCGACCUGCACGAAUGGCGUAAUGAUGGCCAGGCUGUCUCCACCCGAGACUCAGUGAAAUUGAACUCGCUGUGAAGAUGCAGUGUACCCGCGGCAAGACGGAAAGACCCCGUGAACCUUUACUAUAGCUUGACACUGAACAUUGAGCCUUGAUGUGUAGGAUAGGUGGGAGGCUUUGAAGUGUGGACGCCAGUCUGCAUGGAGCCGACCUUGAAAUACCACCCUUUAAUGUUUGAUGUUCUAACGUGGACCCGUAAUCCGGGUUGCGGACAGUGUCUGGUGGGUAGUUUGACUGGGGCGGUCUCCUCCUAAAGAGUAACGGAGGAGCACGAAGGUUGGCUAAUCCUGGUCGGACAUCAGGAGGUUAGUGCAAUGGCAUAAGCCAGCUUGACUGCGAGCGUGACGGCGCGAGCAGGUGCGAAAGCAGGUCAUAGUGAUCCGGUGGUUCUGAAUGGAAGGGCCAUCGCUCAACGGAUAAAAGGUACUCCGGGGAUAACAGGCUGAUACCGCCCAAGAGUUCAUAUCGACGGCGGUGUUUGGCACCUCGAUGUCGGCUCAUCACAUCCUGGGGCUGAAGUAGGUCCCAAGGGUAUGGCUGUUCGCCAUUUAAAGUGGUACGCGAGCUGGGUUUAGAACGUCGUGAGACAGUUCGGUCCCUAUCUGCCGUGGGCGCUGGAGAACUGAGGGGGGCUGCUCCUAGUACGAGAGGACCGGAGUGGACGCAUCACUGGUGUUCGGGUUGUCAUGCCAAUGGCACUGCCCGGUAGCUAAAUGCGGAAGAGAUAAGUGCUGAAAGCAUCUAAGCACGAAACUUGCCCCGAGAUGAGUUCUCCCUGACUCCUUGAGAGUCCUGAAGGAACGUUGAAGACGACGACGUUGAUAGGCCGGAUGUGUAAGCGCAGCGAUGCGUUGAGCUAACCGGUACUAAUGAACCGUGAGGCUUAACCUUACAACGCCGAAGCUGUU